CAGUAGCCGCGGGAAUACGAAGGGUGCAGGCGUUACUCGGAAUUACUGGGCGUAAAGCGUGCGUAGGUGGUGGUUUAAGUCCGUUGUGAAAGCCCUGGGCUCAACCUGGGAAUUGCAGUGGAUACUGGGUCACUAGAGUGUGGUAGAGGAUAGUGGAAUUUCCGGUGUAGCAGUGAAAUGCGUAGAGAUCGGAAGGAACAUCUGUGGCGAAGGCGACUAUCUGGGCCAACACUGACACUGAGGCACGAAAGCGUGGGGAGCAAACAGGAUUAGAUACCCCAGUAGUCCCUGUCUCUUAUAC
Molecule: ribosomal RNA, 301 nt
Filed under: uncultured bacterium
Lineage: Bacteria
Description: partial 16S ribosomal RNA
Rfam family: Bacterial small subunit ribosomal RNA
Source: RNAcentral